Tarenaya hassleriana is the source of this 1200-nucleotide RNA transcript. RefSeq lists it as uncharacterized. The transcript has 3 exons. The record is from RefSeq and is a predicted model, not a curated record. NCBI's taxonomy places the organism in Eukaryota, Viridiplantae, Streptophyta, Magnoliopsida, Brassicales, Cleomaceae.
CAAAGAAAGCGGGAAAAUCUCCCUCCUCCUGAAACCCUAGAAAAAUCCGGAGUCACUCAAAGAGGAAGAAGAAGAAGAAGAAGAAGAUUGGCAAUGGAGGAGGAUACGCCCCCGAUCUUCGACCACUGCCUAGAAACCUCCUCUCAGAAAUCUCAGUUACAACGCUGCGGCUUUGCCUUUCAACGGGACGACCACCCAGAUUCUCAGCUCUCCACCGGAGCUGUGCCGCCAAAAAAUGGCUGGAAUUCCCCUCGCGAUGUUCCCGGAGAUUCGGAGAAGAUGGUGACUGACUCCGAACGGAGGCCCGACACAGAGGAUAACAUUGUCGCCCUUGAUCGGGCGGUUCCCGUUGUGUUGGAGGAGCAGACGACCGUGGCCGAGGUUUUCGGACCGAAUCGGCUAUCGCAUGAAGAAGGUGGUUCUAGGGUUUCGGAAAAGCCCAAUGAUCUGUCUGAUCAACCCUUGUCGUCGAGGAAAUUGAAAGAUGGGAAUAUGAAAUCUCCAGCGAAGGAAAAUGGGAAGACGAAGCUGAAGAUUCCGUUGAGGGAGGUGGUGAAAGCUAUCGUGAUGAACUCGAGGGACCAGAGGAACAAAGAGGAGGAAGAAAAAGACCUUGAGAAGAUGGAUUACGUACAAAUCCUCAUGUCAAAGGGAUUCAAAUUCCCAGAUUGAAGGUGAAAAUUGGAUCUCUCGCGAUAUCUCCGUAAAAUAAUCGAGAACCCUUCACUGUAUUUUCUCUGUUAUUGUCGUGGAAGGAAACCAUGGAUUAUUCAACCUGUUCUUGAUGCAGAUCGAAUUAUCCGUUCUGGGUUUGCAUCUCAGCAUUCGCCAUUCCGUGUUCUUGACAGAAACUAACCAUCACCUUGGAGCUGAUUCAAGCUGCAAACAAAGCUCGAGUUAACAAGUCUUAGUGAGAUCUUUGCCAGUGAUUCAAGAACGAGAAGACCGAAGAUCAAGAAACGGAGAAAAUAAGGUAAUCCGAAAACUACAAACACGAGCGUUAUACCGUUAAAUUUUCCGUGGAGACACCGUGAGAAGAUGAUUUUUACAUCACGGUCAAGUUCUGGUUGAUCUGGUUUUUGCCGUCUGAAACUGGUGUAGAGAAUGCUCCUUCCUCUGAAACAUAUCCUUCAUUUGUAUAUUUUUUGUUUAUCAAUGAAAAUAAUAUAAUACCAUACAAUAAAUCUUGAUACAAUCUAA